AGAGUUUGAUCCUGGCUCAGGAUGAACGCUGGCGGCGUGCUUAACACAUGCAAGUCGAACGAAGCACUUACGACAGAAGCUUUCGGGUGGAAGAUGUAAGUGACUGAGUGGCGGACGGGUGAGUAACGCGUGGGUAACCUGCCUCACACAGGGGGAUAACAGUUAGAAAUGACUGCUAAUACCGCAUAAGCGCACAGUGCUGCAUGGCACAGUGUGAAAAACUCCGGUGGUGUGAGAUGGACCCGCGUCUGAUUAGCUGGUUGGUGAGGUAACGGCCCACCAAGGCGACGAUCAGUAGCCGGCCUGAGAGGGUGAACGGCCACAUUGGAACUGAGACACGGUCCAAACUCCUACGGGAGGCAGCAGUGGGGAAUAUUGCACAAUGGGGGAAACCCUGAUGCAGCGACGCCGCGUGAGUGAAGAAGUUAUUCGUAAUGUAAAGCUCUAUCAGCAGGGAAGAUAAUGACGGUACCUGACUAAGAAGCCCCGGCUAACUACGUGCCAGCAGCCGCGGUAAUACGUAGGUGGCGAGCGUUGUCCGGAAUUACUGGGUGUAAAGGGAGCGUAGGCGGGUACGCAAGUUGAAUGUGAAAACUAACGGCUCAACCGAUAGUUGCGUUCAAAACUGCGGAUCUUGAGUGAAGUAGAGGCAGGCGGAAUUCCUAGUGUAGCGGUAAAAUGCGUAGAUAUUAGGAGGAACACCAGUGGCGAAGGCGGCCUGCUGGGCUUUAACUGACGCUGAGGCUCGAAAGUGUGGGGAGCAAACAGGAUUAGAUACCCUGGUAGUCCACGCAGUAAACGAUGAAGACUAACUGCCGGGGAAUACAGUGUCGGUGGCCAAGCGAAAGCGAUAAGUCAUCCACCUGGGGAGUACGACCGCAAGGUUGAAACUCAAAGGAACUGACGGGGGCCCGCACAAGCGGAGGAACAUGUGGUUUAAUUCGAUGAUACGCGAGGAACCUUACCCGGGCUCGAACGGCAGGUGAACGACACAGAGAUGUGAAGGCCCUACGGGACGCCUGUCGAGGUGCUGCAUGGUUGUCGUCAGCUCGUGCCGUGAGGUGUCGGCUUAAGUGCCAUAACGAGCGCAACCCUUGCCGUCAGUUACCAUCAGGUAAAGCUGGGGACUCUGGCGGGACUGCCACCGCAAGGUGUGAGGAAGGGGGGGAUGACGUCAAAUCAGCACGGCCCUUACGUCCGGGGCGACACACGUGUUACAAUGGUGGGUACAGAGGGGUGCUACCUGGUGACAGGAUGCUGAACUCGAAAGCCCAUCUCAGUUAGGAUCGGAGUCCGCAACCCGACUCCGUGAAGCUGGAUUCGCUAGUAAUCGCGCAUCAGCCAUGGCGCGGUGAAAACGUUCCCGGGCCUUGCACUCACCGCCCGUCA
This 1389-nucleotide ribosomal RNA is filed under the name uncultured bacterium. RNAcentral's name for it is "partial 16S ribosomal RNA". It matches the Rfam family "Bacterial small subunit ribosomal RNA". The record is from RNAcentral.